Molecule: ribosomal RNA, 142 nt
Filed under: uncultured eukaryote
Lineage: Eukaryota
Description: partial 18S ribosomal RNA
Rfam family: Eukaryotic small subunit ribosomal RNA
Source: RNAcentral
UGGUGGAGCGAUUUGUCUGGUUUAUUCCGUUAACGAACGAGACCACGACCUGCUAAAUAGUUCAAGUUAGGGUUCGCUCUAGCUGUUGUGACUUCUUAGAGGGACUAUCGGCUCAAGCCGAUGGAAGUUUGAGGCAAUAACA